Molecule: ribosomal RNA, 492 nt
Filed under: uncultured bacterium
Lineage: Bacteria
Description: partial 16S ribosomal RNA
Rfam family: Bacterial small subunit ribosomal RNA
Source: RNAcentral
GAUGAACGCUAGCUACAGGCUUAACACAUGCAAGUCGAGGGGAAACGACAUUGAAAGCUUGCUUUUGAUGGGCGUCGACCGGCGCACGGGUGAGUAACGCGUAUCCAACCUGCCCAUCACUUGGGGAUAACCUUGCGAAAGUAAGACUAAUACCCAAUGAUAUCUCUAGAAGACAUCUGAAAGAGAUUAAAGAUUUAUCGGUGAUGGAUGGGGAUGCGUCUGAUUAGCUUGUUGGCGGGGUAACGGCCCACCAAGGCAACGAUCAGUAGGGGUUCUGAGAGGAAGGUCCCCCACAUUGGAACUGAGACACGGUCCAAACUCCUACGGGAGGCAGCAGUGAGGAAUAUUGGUCAAUGGGCGAGAGCCUGAACCAGCCAAGUAGCGUGCAGGAAGACGGCCCUAUGGGUUGUAAACUGCUUUUAUAAGGGAAUAAAGUGAGAGUCGUGACUCUUUUUGUAUGUACCUUAUGAAUAAGGACCGGCUAAUUCCGUG